RNAcentral lists this ribosomal RNA (253 nucleotides) under uncultured bacterium. RNAcentral describes it as "partial 16S ribosomal RNA". It matches the Rfam family "Bacterial small subunit ribosomal RNA", at positions 524 to 776 of the family's 1533-position model. The record is from RNAcentral.
UACAGAGGGGGCAAGCGUUGUUCGGAAUUACUGGGCGUAAAGGGCGCGUAGGCGGCCCGCUAAGUCGAACGUGAAAUCCCUGGGCUCAACCCAGGAACUGCGUCCGAUACUGGCAGGCUUGAAUCCGGGAGAGGGAUGUGGAAUUCCAGGUGUAGCGGUGAAAUGCGUAGAUAUCAGGAGGAACACCGGUGGCGAAGGCGGAUCUCUGGGCCUUACCUGACGCUCAGGUGCGAAAGCUAGGGGAGCGAACAGG